Molecule: ribosomal RNA, 378 nt
Filed under: uncultured Acidovorax sp.
Lineage: Bacteria; Pseudomonadati; Pseudomonadota; Betaproteobacteria; Burkholderiales; Comamonadaceae
Description: bacterial SSU rRNA
Rfam family: Bacterial small subunit ribosomal RNA
Source: RNAcentral
AGAUAGAGGAGUGCUCGAAAGAGAGCCGUAACACAGGUGCUGCAUGGCUGUCGUCAGCUCGUGUCGUGAGAUGUUGGGUUAAGUCCCGCAACGAGCGCAACCCUUGUCAUUAGUUGCUACAUUCAGUUGGGCACUCUAAUGAGACUGCCGGUGACAAACCGGAGGAAGGUGGGGAUGACGUCAAGUCCUCAUGGCCCUUAUAGGUGGGGCUACACACGUCAUACAAUGGAUGGUACAAAGGGUCGCCAACCCGCGAGGGGGAGCCAAUCCCAUAAAGCCAUUCGUAGUCCGGAUCGCAGUCUGUAACUCGACUGCGUGAAGUCGGAAUCGCUAGUAAUCGUGGAUCAGAAUGUCACGGUGAAUACGUUCCCGGGUCUU